Molecule: ribosomal RNA, 253 nt
Filed under: uncultured bacterium
Lineage: Bacteria
Description: partial 16S ribosomal RNA
Rfam family: Bacterial small subunit ribosomal RNA
Source: RNAcentral
UACGGAGGGGGCUAGCGUUGUUCGGAAUUACUGGGCGUAAAGCGCACGUAGGCGGAUCGAUAAGUCAGGGGUGAAAUCCCAGGGCUCAACCCUGGAACUGCCUUUGAUACUGUCGAUCUGGAGUAUGGAAGAGGUGAGUGGAAUUCCGAGUGUAGAGGUGAAAUUCGUAGAUAUUCGGAGGAACACCAGUGGCGAAGGCGGCUCACUGGUCCAUUACUGACGCUGAGGUGCGAAAGCGUGGGGAGCAAACAGG